CCCGGCGACCGGCGCACGGGUGCGUAACGCGUAUGCAACCUACCUUUAACAGGGGGAUAACACUGAGAAAUUGGUACUAAUACCCCAUAAUAUCAUAGAAGGCAUCUUUUAUGGUUGAAAAUUCCGAUGGUUAGAGAUGGGCAUGCGUUGUAUUAGCUAGUUGGUGGGGUAACGGCUCACCAAGGCGACGAUACAUAGGGGGACUGAGAGGUUAACCCCCCACACUGGUACUGAGACACGGACCAG
RNAcentral lists this ribosomal RNA (246 nucleotides) under uncultured bacterium. RNAcentral describes it as "partial 16S ribosomal RNA". It matches the Rfam family "Bacterial small subunit ribosomal RNA", at positions 87 to 334 of the family's 1533-position model. The record is from RNAcentral.